UAGUCCACGCCCUAAACGAUGAGAACUAGCCGUUGGGGGUCUUUAUACCUUUAGUGGCGAAGCUAACGCGAUAAGUUCUCCGCCUGGGGAGUACGGCCGCAAGGUUAAAACUCAAAGGAAUUGACGGGGGCCCGCACAAGCGGUGGAGCAUGUGGUUUAAUUCGAUGCAACGCGAAGAACCUUACCUGCCCUUGACAUUGACAGAAUCCUGUAGAGAUACGGGAGUGCCUUCGGGCCUGGAAAACAGGUGCUGCAAGGCUGUCGUCAGCUCGUGUCGUGAGAUGUUGGGUUAAGUCCCGUAACGAGCGCAACCCUUGUCCCUAGUUGCCAGCACUUCGGGUGGGAACUCUAGGGAGACUGCCGGUGACAAACCGGAGGAAGGUGGGGAUGACGUCAAGUCCUCAUGGCCCUUAUGGGCAGGGCUACACACGUGCUACAAUGGCCAGUACAGAGGGUUGCCAACCCGCGAGGGGGAGCUAAUCCCACAAAGCUGGUCGUAGUCCGGAUCGGAGUCUGCAACUCGACUCCGU
RNAcentral lists this ribosomal RNA (530 nucleotides) under uncultured bacterium. RNAcentral describes it as "bacterial SSU rRNA". It matches the Rfam family "Bacterial small subunit ribosomal RNA", at positions 791 to 1321 of the family's 1533-position model. The record is from RNAcentral.